UUUAAACCUAUGAUCAAGAGGAGUAGGAAUAAAUAUUUGUAUAAGAGAGCCGCUAGCUGCUGAGAAUGCGGUUACAAAGUUUAUUCUGAAUGGACUUGUGAGGGAAGCCCGAAAUUGAAAAAAAGUAGGCGCUUACGGAGGCCCGAUCCGUUACCAGCAGGGUGUAUAUGUUAGUAUACAGAAUGAGAGGACGUUUUAUCGUCAAUUUGGGUGGUACCGCAGAAGCUUAAGGCUUUUGUCCCUUAU
RNAcentral lists this non-coding RNA (246 nucleotides) under Acetivibrio clariflavus. RNAcentral's name for it is "Clostridium clariflavum T-box sequence". It matches the Rfam family "T-box leader". Rfam says of the family: Uncharged tRNA acts as the effector for transcription antitermination of genes in the T-box leader family. T-boxes are found upstream of many aminoacyl-tRNA synthetase genes and some amino acid biosynthetic genes usually in Gram-positive bacteria. Lineage: Bacteria; Bacillati; Bacillota; Clostridia; Acetivibrionales; Acetivibrionaceae. The record is from RNAcentral.